GGUGUUUCUGAACAACAAUUUUAUCAACUGUGUCCUGAUCUUCAAAAGUUACAAAAGCAAAUCCUCUCUCUUUCCACUCUGCCUGUCUUCCAUAACUUCUAUGGUUUCAAUCUUGCCAUACUUUUCAAAGUAGUCUCUCAGAUUAUAUUCUUCUCUAUCCUCUCUAAUACCACCAACAAAAAUUUUCUUCACCAUUAAAUGGGCAACAGGCUUUACAGAAUCCUCUCUAGAAACAGCUCUUUGGUUCCACCACACGUCCAUCAACCUUGUGUGGCUGAGCACACAUUGCAGCAUCCACCUCUUCCACAUAAGAGUAGGUCACAAAACCAAAGCCUCUGGAAUGUUGUGUUUGAGGAUCUCUCAUUACCACAGUCUGUAAGUGUGCCCCAUUUCUCAAAAUGUUCUCUUAAGCUAUCACCUGUGCUUUCAAAGCUCAACCACCAAUAAACGGCUUCCUCACUGCUCUGGCUCCUUUGCAUCCGCCCCCAACCCCAACCCCACCUCUACUCCAGCCUACUGAGGCU
RNAcentral lists this long non-coding RNA (524 nucleotides) under Rattus norvegicus (Norway rat). RNAcentral describes it as "long non-coding RNA NONRATT013532". The record is from RNAcentral. Lineage: Eukaryota; Metazoa; Chordata; Mammalia; Rodentia; Muridae.